This 325-nucleotide long non-coding RNA is filed under the name Solanum tuberosum (potato). RNAcentral's name for it is "long non-coding RNA (STUB_LNC010079)". The record is from RNAcentral. Lineage: Eukaryota; Viridiplantae; Streptophyta; Magnoliopsida; Solanales; Solanaceae.
UAUAGUAUUUAUCUAGAUUAUAUACACAUGUUUUUGAGGAUAACAUUUUUGUUACACACCAAACACAAGAAAGUAAGUAAGAAAAUCACUUAUUUCCUAGGAAAGCAUUUUCCUUCGUGCCAAACACACCAUAAUCAUUGUUUUAUCCCUACAAAAAGCAAUCAUAGCAUAAGUGCAUGGACAUAUUCAUAGCAUUGCGAGAAACACCACACAGAACCCACUAAAACAAGCCUGAGGGUGGUUUUAAUAUAACUAAGCUCUGCAGGAAUUAGUAAUUUUUUACAUCAUGACUUAAGCAGACACAUCAUAGUAAAAGAUGGCUACA